RNAcentral lists this ribosomal RNA (774 nucleotides) under uncultured Neocallimastigales. RNAcentral describes it as "partial large subunit ribosomal RNA". It matches the Rfam family "Eukaryotic large subunit ribosomal RNA", at positions 23 to 646 of the family's 3401-position model. Lineage: Eukaryota; Fungi; Neocallimastigomycota; Neocallimastigomycetes; Neocallimastigales. The record is from RNAcentral.
AGAGAUGUGUGAUGACGCAUAUCAAUAAGCGGAGGAAAAGAAACUAACAAGGAUUCCCUUAGUAACGGCGAGUGAAGCGGGAAGAGCUCAAAUUUGAAAUCUUCAAGGUUCUACCUUGACGAAUUGUAGUUUAUAGAAGUGUUUUCUGUUAGUAGAGUGGCAAAAGUUCUUUGGAAUAGGACAUCAUAGAGGGUGAGAAUCCCGUAUUUGGUCAUUCUUUCUAGCUUUGUGAUACACUUUCAACGAGUCGGAUUGUUUGGGAAUGCAGUCCAAAAUGGGUGGUAAUUUCAUCUAAAGCUAAAUAUUGGCGAGAGACCGAUAGCGAACAAGUACCGUGAGGGAAAGAUGAAAAGAACUUUGAAAAGAGAGUUAAACAGUACGUGAAAUUGUCAAAAGGGAAGCGUUUGAUACCAGUGUUGUUUUUCCGAAAAUCAAUUACGAAUGUUUUGUUUUUGAGGAAGUUAUGACUUCAUCGGCUUGCUCCUUUCUUUAUGAAACUUUCUUAAUGCACUUUUCGGUUAACAAGUCAACAUCAAUUUCUUUUGUUGUAAAAGGGUAUGAGGAAGGUGGCUUUCUUUUCGGAGAAAGUGUUUAUAGCCUUGUACCUCUGCAAUCGGAGAGAUUGAGGUCUGCAGCGUAGAUCCUUCGGGGUUAGAUACAUUUGUGCUAAGUUAUAGCUUUUCAUAGACAACUUGUUGACUAUGUUAAGUCUUGUAGCUUACUCGCUUAUGCUAUUUUACCUACGCUUAGGAUGUUGAUCUGUAGUGCGUGCGC